UACGUAGGGGGCAAGCGUUGUCCGGAUUUAUUGGGCGUAAAAGGCUUGUAGGUGGCCACGCCAAGUCGGAUGUGAAAUCUCCCGGCUCAACUGGGAGGGGUCAUUCGAUACUGGCGGGCUCGAGGCCGGUAGGGGGAAGUGGAAUUCCCGGUGUAGUGGUGGAAUGCGUAGAUAUCGGGAGGAACACCAGUGGCGAAGGCGGCUUCCUGGACCGGUUCUGACACUGAGGAGUGAAAGCGUGGGGAGCGAUCCGG
RNAcentral lists this ribosomal RNA (254 nucleotides) under uncultured bacterium. Its description in RNAcentral is "partial 16S ribosomal RNA". It matches the Rfam family "Bacterial small subunit ribosomal RNA", at positions 524 to 776 of the family's 1533-position model. The record is from RNAcentral.